GUGGAAAUGAGUGUGUUACGUACCGAGAGCCUCCAGGUCGUCUUUGUGAUGUUCGCAGCACUUUGUGUCAAAUCCGGUAGAACAGCUGAACAAGUGUAUGGAUUAAUAGGAAAAGAGGCUCAACUGGAUCCGAAAGAGACUGAAACCAUCAAUAGGAUCACAUGGAAGAAAGAGAACAACAAAAUAGUCGAGUGGAUCGAGAAUCCAAAACCGCACAGGUAUUCCAGAUGUUUGACUGAAGACCAGUGUAACCUGAAUAAGUCAACUGGGGUGCUGAUAUUGAAAGGGUUAAAACGAGAAGAUAAAGGACGAUACUUUUCCGAAAUAAACAGUAAAGGACCCGCAAAGGAAUUUGAGCUCAUUGUACUCGAACCUGUGUCCAAACCUCGAGUCGCCAGAGACUGCAGUUGGACCCAGUGCAUCCUGGCCUGUGUGGGAGAGGAGACUAAUCA
Long non-coding RNA from Scleropages formosus (Asian bonytongue), 452 nucleotides. RefSeq lists it as uncharacterized. The transcript is spliced from 3 exons. Lineage: Eukaryota; Metazoa; Chordata; Actinopteri; Osteoglossiformes; Osteoglossidae. The record is from RefSeq and is a predicted model, not a curated record.